RNAcentral lists this long non-coding RNA (236 nucleotides) under Mytilus galloprovincialis (Mediterranean mussel). Lineage: Eukaryota; Metazoa; Mollusca; Bivalvia; Mytilida; Mytilidae. The record is from RNAcentral.
GUUCGUUCGUUCGUCCGUCUGUCCCGCUUCAGGUUAAAGUUUUUGGUCGAGGUAGUUUUUGAUGAAGUUGAAGUCUAAACAACUUGAAACUUAGUAUAUAUGUUCUGUAUGAUAUGAUCUUUCUAAUUUUAAUUCCAAAUUAGAGAUUUAACCCCAUUUUCAUGGUCCACUGAACAUAGAAAAUGAUAGUGCGGAUGGGGCAUCCAUGUACUGGGGACACAUUCUUGUUUACUCAU